GACGAACGCUGGCGGCGUGCCUAAUACAUGCAAGUUGAGCGAUGAAGAUUGGUGCUUGCACCAAUUUGCAGAGCAGCGAACGGGUGAGUAACGCGUGGGGAAUCUGCCUUUGAGCGGGGGACAACAUUUGGAAACGAAUGCUAAUACCGCAUAACAACUUUAAACAUAAGUUUUAAGUUUGAAAGAUGCAAUUGCAUCACUCAAAGAUGAUCCCGCGUUGUAUUAGCUAGUUGGUGAGGUAAAGGCUCACCAAGGCGAUGAUACAUAGCCGACCUGAGAGGGUGAUCGGCCACAUUGGGACUGAGACACGGCCCAAACUCCUACGGGAGGCAGCAGUAGGGAAUCUUCGGCAAUGGACGAAAGUCUGGCCGAGCAACGCCGCGUGAGUGAAGAAGGUUUUCGGAUCGUAAAACUCGGUUGGUAGAGAAGAACGUUGGUGAGAGUGGAAAGCUCAUCAAGUGACGGUAACUACCCAGAAAGGGACGGCUAACUACGUG
RNAcentral lists this ribosomal RNA (497 nucleotides) under uncultured bacterium. RNAcentral's name for it is "partial 16S ribosomal RNA". It matches the Rfam family "Bacterial small subunit ribosomal RNA", at positions 28 to 507 of the family's 1533-position model. The record is from RNAcentral.